UCCCUCGUGGCGCAAUUGGCUAGCGCGUUCGACUGUUAGAAAGCAGUUCAAUCGAGAGGUUGGUGGUUCGAGCCCACCCGAGGGAG
Cadophora gregata is the source of this 86-nucleotide non-coding RNA. NCBI's taxonomy places the organism in Eukaryota, Fungi, Ascomycota, Leotiomycetes, Helotiales, Ploettnerulaceae. The record is from the annotation of a RefSeq genome assembly.